This 162-nucleotide ribosomal RNA is filed under the name uncultured bacterium. RNAcentral describes it as "partial 16S ribosomal RNA". It matches the Rfam family "Bacterial small subunit ribosomal RNA", at positions 318 to 493 of the family's 1533-position model. The record is from RNAcentral.
UACGGGAGGCAGCAGUGGGGACUACUGCACACUGCAGUAAAGAAUAUUGCACAAUGGGCGAAAGCCUGAUGCAGCAACGCCGCUUGAGACGAUGAAGGCCCUCUGGAUCGUAAAGCUACUGUCCUUGGGGAAGAAACAAAUGCCGUCCCCUGGAAGCCGUCC